Molecule: long non-coding RNA, 199 nt
Filed under: Physcomitrium patens
Lineage: Eukaryota; Viridiplantae; Streptophyta; Bryopsida; Funariales; Funariaceae
Description: long non-coding RNA (PPAT_LNC000629)
Source: RNAcentral
UCUUCAAUCUUUAUGUCAUCUACUAACAUUGUUAACUCUAUGUUUACUUUAUUUUUUUGUAAAGUAGUAAAAUCUUGUAUGAAAUUGACAGUAAUUAUUGCAUCUGUAAUUGAAGUAGGAUAUUUUGCUAAUCAUUGGAUAAAUUUUCCAUCAUCCUCUCGAUCAUAAAAUCUAGGAUCCAUGUAGCUGAGUACAAUAG